Molecule: unclassified non-coding RNA, 917 nt
Filed under: Hevea brasiliensis (rubber tree)
Lineage: Eukaryota; Viridiplantae; Streptophyta; Magnoliopsida; Malpighiales; Euphorbiaceae
Source: RNAcentral
CCGUCAUGAAAUUUUGUCCAAUGAUAUUCACAUUUCCACUUUUCACAACACCCAGACAAUAUAUAUUUGUAUUGCCCGGAAGACCAACUAUUACUAGGGGGUCAGUGACAUUAAAUUGGCUUCCACCUUUCAUAACCAGAUUUAGAAUUGGCAGCUCCGGAACAGCUUGAAUUGAGCUCAUCUCAUAACAAUAUUCAAAAGGUAAACCAGGAUCAGAUAAAUAGCGUUUGUCUUUUGCCUGGUUAUUGAAACUCUCAGAUAUAAAAGAAUAGGCAGGAUCAUUUAGGUAUGUAAAUGAGGUACCAGUGUCGAAAAUUGCAGUGAACUCAAGAUUAGAAUCGUUCCCGCCCACAUGUAUUUUACUGAUGCUGAUGUUGUAAGUUGGAUGUGACUGCCUCAGAUUGAAAGGUGUUUCUCCUUGGUCUGAACUUCCUGUAUCUCCAAAACUGAUUCUCCCAACUCCAUCAAGUCCAAAACACAUGGAAAAGGAAUUGGAAGUUAACCCUUCUCUCGCUAAAGUACUAGGAACAGAUUCAUUACUCAUACCAAGCCCAAAUAAGCCAUUGGGAGCCGCACCAUCCAAAAAUGAACCAGUUUGCCUUUGACCACAACCAAAUGUGAUUGUUGCAUUAUGAGCUGUCCUUUGAGUGUCAUCAGUAGUUAAAUGCAAAAAAUCCUCUACCAAGUACCCACUUGAUGAAGUGUUUUCAGAAAGAUAUAAAACUUGAUAAGGACAAACACUUUGAGAGGAGGAGCAUUGCUUUUGUUGUGAACACAAGGAGCUGUUGCAGGGGACUUUUUCGCUUGUUGAUGAGUUAUUAGUGCUGUAGAUAUUAAGCUGUAUUUCCUUUCCAGAUGAAGUUUGCAAGCCACGGACGCAACUUGUACAAUCACAUGGUAACCAGAAGAGAUCACUG